CCUACGGGGGGCUGCAGUCGAGAAGCUUCGGCAAUGGGGGAAACCCUGACCGAGCGACGCCGCGUGCAGGAUGAAGGCCUUCGGGUUGUAAACUGCUUUCGACAGGGAAGAAGGGCGUUUGGGAUAAUACCCCGAUCGUUUGACGGUACCUGGAGAAGAAGCCUCGGCUAAUUCCGUGCCAGCAGCCGCGGUAAUACGGGGGAGGCAAGCGUUAAUCGGAUUUAUUGGGCGUAAAGGGCGCGUAGGCGGUUUCUUAAGUCAGGUGUUAAAGACCACGGCUCACCCGUGGGGCUGCGCCUGAUACUGAGGGACUGGAGUGCAGCAGAGGCAAGCGGAAUUCCCGGUGUAGCGGUGAAAUGCAUAGAUAUCGGGAGGAACACCAGUGGCGAAGGCGGCUUGCUGGGCUGUAACUGACGCUGAGGCGCGAAAGCCAGGGGAGCGAACGGGCUUAGAUACCCUGGUAGUC
This 466-nucleotide ribosomal RNA is filed under the name uncultured bacterium. RNAcentral's name for it is "bacterial SSU rRNA". It matches the Rfam family "Bacterial small subunit ribosomal RNA", at positions 338 to 795 of the family's 1533-position model. The record is from RNAcentral.